UACGUAGGGGGCGAGCGUUGUCCGGAAUCACUGGGCGUAAAGGGCGCGUAGGCGGCUUUUCAAGCGUGCGGUGAAAGCUCGGGGCUUAACUCCGAGUCUGCCGUGCGAACUGGGAGGCUUGAGUCUGGUAGAGGUCGAUGGAAUUCCGGGUGUAGCGGUGGAAUGCGUAGAGAUCCGGAAGAACACCGGUGGCGAAGGCGGUCGACUGGGCCAGUACUGACGCUGAGGCGCGACAGCGUGGGGAGCAAACAGG
RNAcentral lists this ribosomal RNA (253 nucleotides) under uncultured bacterium. RNAcentral's name for it is "partial 16S ribosomal RNA". It matches the Rfam family "Bacterial small subunit ribosomal RNA", at positions 524 to 776 of the family's 1533-position model. The record is from RNAcentral.